CCUACGGGUGGCAGCAGUGGGGAAUAUUGCACAAUGGGGGAAACCCUGAUGCAGCGACGCCGCGUGAGUGAAGAAGUAUUUCGGUAUGUAAAGCUCUAUUAGCAGGGAAGAAAAUGAUGGUACCUGACUAAGAAGCCCCAGCUAACUACGUGCAAGCAGACGCGGUAAUACGUAGGGGGCAAGGGGUAUACGGAUUUCAUGGGUGGAAAGGGAGCGUAGACGGCCAGACAAGUCAGAAGUGAAAGCCCAGGGCUCAACACUGGGACGGCUUUUGAAACUUCCGGGCUGGAGUGCAGGAGAGGUAAGCGGCAUUCCUAGUGUAGCGGUGACACGCGUAUAUAUUAGGAGGAACACCAGUGGCGAAGGCGGCUUACUGGACUGUAACUGACGUUGAGGCUCGAAAGCGUGGGGAGCAAACAGGAUUAGAUACCCUAGUAGUC
Molecule: ribosomal RNA, 440 nt
Filed under: uncultured bacterium
Lineage: Bacteria
Description: partial 16S ribosomal RNA
Rfam family: Bacterial small subunit ribosomal RNA
Source: RNAcentral